RNAcentral lists this ribosomal RNA (366 nucleotides) under uncultured organism. Its description in RNAcentral is "bacterial LSU rRNA". It matches the Rfam family "Bacterial large subunit ribosomal RNA", at positions 2099 to 2465 of the family's 2925-position model. The record is from RNAcentral.
CUUUACUGCAACUUGACGUUGGAACUUGGCUAUAUUUGUGUAGGAUAGGUGGGAGACUUUGAAGCAGGGCCGCCAGGUCUUGCGGAGUCGUCGUUGAAAUACCACCCUGGUGCUGACGAGUUUCUAACCGUGCCCGUAAGCCGGACAUGAGACAGCGUCUGGUGGGCAGUUUGACUGGGGCGGUCGCCUCCUAAAAGGUAACGGAGGCAUUCAAAGGUCCCCUCAGCGUGGUCGGUAAUCACGCGCAGAGUGCAAACGCAUAAGGGGGCUUAACUGCGAGACCGACAGGUCGAGCAGGUACGAAAGUAGGAGUUAGUGAUCCCGUGGUUUAGCGUGGAAUUGCCGUUGCUCAAUGGAUAAAAGGUA